Molecule: ribosomal RNA, 433 nt
Filed under: uncultured bacterium
Lineage: Bacteria
Description: bacterial SSU rRNA
Rfam family: Bacterial small subunit ribosomal RNA
Source: RNAcentral
AUUGAACGCUGGCGGCAUGCUUUACACAUGCAAGUCGAACGGCAGCACGGGUGCUUGCACCUGGUGGCGAGUGGCGGACGGGUGAGUAAUGCAUCGGAACGUGUCCUGAAGUGGGGGAUAACGCAUCGAAAGAUGUGCUAAUACCGCAUAUUCUCUGAGGAGGAAAGUAGGGGAUCGAAAGACCUUAUGCUUUUGGAGCGGCCGAUGUCUGAUUAGCUAGUUGGUAGGGUAAUGGCUUACCAAGGCGACGAUCAGUAGUUGGUCUGAGAGGACGGCCAGCCACACUGGGACUGAGACACGGCCCAGACUCCUACGGGAGGCAGCAGUGGGGAAUUUUGGACAAUGGGCGCAAGCCUGAUCCAGCAAUGCCGCGUGAGUGAAGAAGGCCUGGUUGUAAGACUCUUUCUAGUUGAGAAGAAAAGGUACGGUAGAC